CUUGUUUUCAGCUCCCUUGCAAUGACCAGGAUUUCAUCUGUCUGUGCAUGUGCCUUGGGUGCCUUUUGGAGAAAUCCACCUGUUGGGAUGUAAUAGACUGGAAAAAGCAUAAUCCAUUUGGUAGCCAAGAUAAGCCAAGGCUGAAGCAGCACAUAAAUGCAUCCCUGGCAGGAGGCCAGGUCCCUGUGUUCUGGAAAAAAAGGUGUCGUGUAAUGUCUGAUCAAGAAUUAUGCAGUUGCCGAAGACAAGAAGAUUUUCCCCUUAAAUAAUCAUGGGAAAUUACUACAGCCCCAGAAGCAGGGAGAGCUCAUCUGUCCAUCAGUGAAGAGGCAGAUCCCAAUCUGCCAUUCUGCCAUUCCUCUUGCUGCUGCUUCACCCCAUCCCACUCCUGCUGCUCCAGGCGUUGUGGCUCAGCUCUCACCCACCCAAGCAACCCGGCUCAUCCAAGCAGACCUUUGACAUGAUGUGCUCCUUUACAGGUGCACUGCUAUAAAUCAGGAGCAGGUCCACAGAGGUUGGAGGCUUAGUAUCACUAUAAAAGUGACAUAAGAAAAGCAGGCUCAAACAAGAGUAGAAACUUUGUCCAAUUUUUUUUAAUUUAUACUGAAUGACAGAUUUAUGGAGCACAUUAUAAACUAUUCAAUGCAGACUAUCAUUUUUUUCUCCAGUAUUCCACAUACUGAGACUGGAGCCUCCAGAGUAUGAAUAAUUAUAUGUCUAUUAUAAGGAACAUUUUUAUUUUUAAGCAUGAAAAGCAGCAUUGUCAGCAAAGCAUAAAUAUAUAUUUUGAGAAAGGCGGCUCGCCCGUCUACGAUCUUUAGUAGUGACAGAGGGAAAAAGGUCGUCUAGAACUGUACUCAAAACAUAUCCCCAGACCUACUGUGUCUAGUAUAACACUGACGUAGAAUGAUUGCAUUUUCUUCCACUCUUUUUGCAGUGUUUCUAGUGCUUUUAGGGCUUUUCAUCCCAGUGUUUCACUGUUAUCUCUGUGUGUCUGGGGAUGGUACAGGGACUUUCCAUAUGCUCAGCAUGACUUAAAUAAACUCUUCAGCCAUUUGAAAUGUGGGUGUUAC
RNAcentral lists this long non-coding RNA (1073 nucleotides) under Cyanistes caeruleus (blue tit). Its description in RNAcentral is "lncRNA (ENSCCEG00000008291.1)". Lineage: Eukaryota; Metazoa; Chordata; Aves; Passeriformes; Paridae. The record is from RNAcentral.